GAGACAUCAGUCGCCGCGGUAAUACGAAGGGUGCAAGCGUUAAUCGGAAUUACUGGGCGUAAAGCGUGCGUAGGCGGUUUGUUAAGUCUGUUGUGAAAUCCCCGGGCUCAACCUGGGAAUGGCAAUGGAUACUGGCAAGCUAGAGUGUGUCAGAGGAUGGUGGAAUUCCCGGUGUAGCGGUGAAAUGCGUAGAGAUCGGGAGGAACAUCAGUGGCGAAGGCGGCCAUCUGGGACAACACUGACGCUGAGGCACGAAAGCGUGGGGAGCAAACAGGAUUAGAUACCCGUGUAGUCCCUGUCUCUUAUAC
This 308-nucleotide ribosomal RNA is filed under the name uncultured bacterium. RNAcentral's name for it is "partial 16S ribosomal RNA". It matches the Rfam family "Bacterial small subunit ribosomal RNA", at positions 505 to 807 of the family's 1533-position model. The record is from RNAcentral.